This 280-nucleotide ribosomal RNA is filed under the name uncultured Escherichia sp. Its description in RNAcentral is "partial 16S ribosomal RNA". It matches the Rfam family "Bacterial small subunit ribosomal RNA", at positions 351 to 630 of the family's 1533-position model. The record is from RNAcentral. Lineage: Bacteria; Pseudomonadati; Pseudomonadota; Gammaproteobacteria; Enterobacterales; Enterobacteriaceae.
GCAGUGGGGAAUAUUGCACAGGCGCAAGCCUGAUGCAGCCAUGCCGCGUGUAUGAAGAAGGCCUUCGGGUUGUAAAGUACUUUCAGCGGGGAGGAAGGGAGAAGUUAAUACCUUUGCUCAUUGACGUUACCCGCAGAAGAAGCACCGGCUAACUCCGUGCCAGCAGCCGCGGUAAUACGGAGGGGCAAGCGUUAAUCGGAAUUACUGGGCGUAAAGCGCACGCAGGCGGUUUGUUAAGUCAGAUGUGAAAUCCCCGGGCUCAACCUGGAACUGCAUCUGA